This is a small nuclear RNA of Sorex fumeus (smoky shrew), 133 nucleotides long. RefSeq annotates it as U11 spliceosomal RNA. The transcript has a single exon. Lineage: Eukaryota; Metazoa; Chordata; Mammalia; Eulipotyphla; Soricidae. The record is from RefSeq and is a predicted model, not a curated record.
GAAAAGAUCUUCUACUGUGAGUGGCACACAUAGGGCAGCCCACUUGCUCUACAUGCGGAAUCUACUUCAAGAGAUUUUGGAAGCAUAAUUUUUGGUAUAAGGGCAGCUGGUGCUCGUGGAUCCUGGUGCCUCA